AUGGAGUCUAACAUAUGUGCGAGUGUUUGAGUGUAAAACUCAGGCGCGUAAUGAAAGUGACUGUUCGUUCGGCGAACUGAGGUGGGAAUCCGCAAGGAGGCACCAUCGACCGAUCAUGAUCUUCGGUGAAAGAUUUGAGUUUGAGCAUACAUGUUGGGACCCGAAAGAUGGUGAACUAUGCCUGAAUAGGGCGAAGCCAGGGGAAACCCUGGUGGAGGCUCGUAGCGGUUCUGACGUGCAAAUCGAUCGUGAAAUUUGGGUAUAGGGGCGAAAGACUAAUCGAACCAUCUAGUAGCUGGUUCCCUCCGAAGUUUCCCUCAGGAUAGCUGGAGUUGAACAGUUUUAUCAGGUAAAGCGAAUGAUUAGAGG
This 369-nucleotide ribosomal RNA is filed under the name Karenia brevis. Its description in RNAcentral is "partial Eukaryotic large subunit ribosomal RNA". It matches the Rfam family "Eukaryotic large subunit ribosomal RNA", at positions 670 to 1027 of the family's 3401-position model. Lineage: Eukaryota; Dinophyceae; Gymnodiniales; Kareniaceae. The record is from RNAcentral.